This 253-nucleotide ribosomal RNA is filed under the name uncultured bacterium. Its description in RNAcentral is "partial 16S ribosomal RNA". It matches the Rfam family "Bacterial small subunit ribosomal RNA", at positions 524 to 776 of the family's 1533-position model. The record is from RNAcentral.
UACAGAGGGCGCGAGCGUUGUCCGGAAUCACUGGGCGUAAAGGGCGCGUAGGCGGCUAGAUGUGUCAAAGGUGAAAUCCCUCGGCUCAACUGAGGAACUGCCUUUGAAACUGUCUGGCUUGAGGCCGGGAGAGGGUAGCGGAAUUCCCAGUGUAGCGGUGAAAUGCGUAGAUAUUGGGAGGAACACCAGUGGCGAAGGCGGCUACCUGGACCGGUUCUGACGCUGAGGCGCGAAAGCGUGGGUAGCAAACAGG